UAAGGAAUAUUGGACAAUGCCCGCAAGGGUGAUCCAGCCAUGCCGCGUGCAGGAAGACGGCCCUAUGGGUUGUAAACUGCUUUUACACCGGAGAAAACCUUCCCUCGUGAGGGGAGCUGAUAGUAUGGUGAGAAUAAGCAUCGGCUAACUUCGUGCCAGCAGCCGCGGUAAGACGAAGGAUGCAAGCGUUAUCCGGAUUCAUUGGGUUUAAAGGGAGCGUAGGCGGCCUGGUAAGUCAGUGGUGAAAUCUCGCAGCUUAACUGCGAAACUGCCAUUGAUACUGCUAGGCUAGAGUACAGAUGCUGUGGGCGGAAUAUGACAUGUAGUGGUGAAAUACAUAGAGAUGUCAUAGAACACCGAUUGCGAAGGCAGCUCACAAAACUGUAACUGACGCUGAGGCUCGAAAGUGUGGGGAUCAAACAG
Molecule: ribosomal RNA, 423 nt
Filed under: uncultured bacterium
Lineage: Bacteria
Description: bacterial SSU rRNA
Rfam family: Bacterial small subunit ribosomal RNA
Source: RNAcentral